AGUGAACGCUGGCGGUAGGCCUAACACAUGCAAGUCGAACGGCAGCACAGUAAGAGCUUGCUCUUACGGGUGGCGAGUGGCGGACGGGUGAGGAAUACAUCGGAAUCUACUUUUUCGUGGGGGAUAACGUAGGGAAACUUACGCUAAUACCGCAUACGACCUACGGGUGAAAGCAGGGGAUCUUCGGACCUUGCGCGAUUGAAUGAGCCGAUGUCGGAUUAGCUAGUUGGCGGGGUAAAGGCCCACCAAGGCGACGAUCCGUGGCUGGUCUGAGAGGAUGAUCGGCCACACUGAAAUGGGACCACGGUCCAGACUCCAACGGGAGGCAGCGGUGGGGAGUAUUGAACAAUGGCGCAAGCCUGAUCCAGCCAUACCGCGUGGGUGAAGAAGGCCUUCGGGUUGUAAAGCCCUUUUGUUGGGAAAGAAAAGCAGCAGGUUAAUACCCCGCUGUUCUGACGGUACCCAAAGAAUAAGCACCGGCUAACUUCGUG
This 491-nucleotide ribosomal RNA is filed under the name uncultured bacterium. RNAcentral describes it as "partial 16S ribosomal RNA". It matches the Rfam family "Bacterial small subunit ribosomal RNA", at positions 29 to 507 of the family's 1533-position model. The record is from RNAcentral.